GUGGGGCACGAGGAGGUGAGGAGUGGGUACUCGGCCCAGCGUGGGACUUGGCCCCAAGGUGCUCCUGCUGUGCUGGGGACUGGGGAUUUUCCUCGGGAGCGGGCCCCUGACGAGGCUGGAGGCCGGGCAGCGCGGGGAGCUCGAGAACUGUUCUUGUGCUGUACAAAUGAUGUGGAAUGAAGCUAAAUUUCAAACCUGUGAAGGAUUUAGUGGAGCAGAAUUAGAGUUCUCCAGCCAGUCCUCCUGCGUGGAGUCAGGUGCUGAUGUACCUGUAUAGCUGUCUCAGGUGAGACGCCAGUGGCGAAGCAGAGAUGGAUGAAGCUCUAGUGCAAAUGUCAGACAUCCACAAACUGAGUCCCGUCUUGCAUCAGAACAUGCUCACAGCUUACAGCCAUGAGAAGGAAGAAGUGCUCCAGAGACCACCUCCCAGCCAUGAAGCAGCAGCAGAUUUAUGCAUCAAGACUACAGCUAGGUCUUCGGCAGCAUCUCAGUGACAUCAUAUUCUCACAGGUUAACUUGCAGAAUGUCCCCUGAGGAGAAGGGAACCCCUCUGCAGGUGAUUCAUGUGUGCCUUGCUGAGAGCAGGUGAAGGAAGGCCCUCGCUGGGUGAGGCUUAAAAGCAGGGGAUGGAGCAUCAGGAACUCAAAGCCAAACUGUCCUCCUCCUGCAGCCAGGGCCAGAAGCAAUUUCAGCCACACAAGUAUGAAGACAGAGAUGUGAAAUGAGCCAGAGAGGAGGAUCAGCUCGUGAUGACAGAUGAGCAGGCUCAUUCUGAACACUUUCCAGGACAUGGUUAAAUCUGAAUUUCUUAAUUUCCAUGGAAAAGCAUCCAUUGACUUUACACCAGUGCUCCAAGGGGAAGUGCUGCACUGCCCAUCUCACACUUCAGAGAGGGCCUUAUCUGCUUCCUGGGGAGCUGUGACCGGGAAGGAAGCUGCAUGGAUUAGGCUGCAAAUACCUUUUAGGAGUUCUGCUGGUUGUUCACCUACACCCAGCCUGGCCAUGCACUUCUGAGUACAUCCCUAGAUGGACUGCCUUCGAGAGAGCGGAUGCAGUUACUCAGCAGAUCACUUCACAUGAUAUUAGCUCUGUGCUUGUCUGUACUCUUAAAACAUGCGUCAUUGUACACCGUAAUUAUAAGGAGAGCUAACUGGCAAGAAGGAUGAUUGCGUCAUUAAGGGACUGAAAUAGGAAUAACUAAUUCUGCUGUUAACUCUUGAUGUAACCUGGCCAUGACACGGAGGAUCAGUUUUCUCAUCUAAAAGGAAGCAAUUCUCCUAGCUUACCCAUUGUAUUUUCCUGCAUUGAAUAAUAUCUCUGAGUCUACGUAAUAAUUUGAAGGUGCGUGCAGAAGUCGUGUCUACAGCAUGAGAGAUGAGGAUCUAAUCCAGACUGGGAUUUGAACUAAAACUAUAGGUGUCCCACAAUAAGAAUAUUAAUGGCAAUAAUAUUUAUAGUAAAAACAUUUGCAAAAAGUUAGGAAGAUGGAUCAUAAGGAAUAGCUACAAGCAAAGUCUGCAGUAUAUAAUAGAACCUGGUUAAUUCUUUCUAUGUCAAUUUGCAAGCCUGACAUCUCUCACCAAAUAUUCUGGCAAGCUCACAGCAUUUUCAAGAAAAGAUUUAACAGCCAAGUUACAGUUGCUUUUAGUUUAGUCUCAUGUUGCUUUUAGUUUAUUAUUAUUGCAAAAUGCACUACCAAACACUUACUAGUCCAUCAUAAAAUAAAAUGCUGUAGAAUUACAAAUGAAUGCUGCUUGC
This is a long non-coding RNA of Cygnus olor (mute swan), 1758 nucleotides long. RefSeq lists it as uncharacterized. The transcript has 6 exons. Lineage: Eukaryota; Metazoa; Chordata; Aves; Anseriformes; Anatidae. The record is from RefSeq and is a predicted model, not a curated record.